GACGAACGCUGGCGGCGUGCUUAACACAUGCAAGUCGAACGGAAAGGCCCUGCUUUUGUGGGGUGCUCGAGUGGCGAACGGGUGAGUAACACGUGAGUAACCUGCUCUUGACUUUGGGAUAACUUCAGGAAACUGGGGUUAAUACCGGACAGGAGCUCCUGCUGCAUGGUGGGCGUUGGAACGUCUCGGCGGUUGGGGAUGGACUGGCGGCUUAUCAGCUUGUUGGUUGGGUAGUGGCUUACCAAGGCUUUGACGGGUAGCCGGCCUGAGAGGGUGACCGGGCACAUUGGGACUGAGAUACGGCCCAGACGCCUACGGGAGGCAGCAGGGGGGAAUCUUGCACAAUGGGCGGAAGCCUGAUGCAGCAGCGCCGCGUGCGGGAUGACGGCCUGCGGGUUGUGAACCGCUUUCGCCUGUGACGAAGCGGGAGUGACGGUAAUGAGUAAAGAAGCACCGGCUAACUACGUG
Molecule: ribosomal RNA, 468 nt
Filed under: uncultured bacterium
Lineage: Bacteria
Description: partial 16S ribosomal RNA
Rfam family: Bacterial small subunit ribosomal RNA
Source: RNAcentral